This 510-nucleotide ribosomal RNA is filed under the name uncultured bacterium. Its description in RNAcentral is "partial 16S ribosomal RNA". It matches the Rfam family "Bacterial small subunit ribosomal RNA", at positions 28 to 507 of the family's 1533-position model. The record is from RNAcentral.
GACGAACGCUGGCGGCGUGCUUAACACAUGCAAGUCGAACGAAGAGCGAUGGAAGCUUGCUUCUAUACGUCUUAGUGGCGAACGGGUGAGUAACGCGUAAUCACCCUGUCCUUCAGAGGGGGACAACAGUUGGACACGACUGCUAAUACCGCAUACGAUCUAAUCUCGGCAUCGAGGAUAGAUGAACGGUUGUGUCUACACGUAUGCUAUCACCGAAGGCGGGUAUUGCGGCUGAUUAGCUAGUUGGUGGGGUAACGGCCCACCAAGGCGAGGACCAGGAGCCGGACGGGGAAGAUGGAUAGCCACAAUGGGACUGAGACACGGCCCAGUCGCCCUCGGGAAGCAGCAAGGAGGAAACCUGCGGAAGGGGCGGAAGUCAUGCGGGACAACGCCGCGGGAGGGAUGACGGCCGUCGGGUUGGAAAGAUCUGUUUAUCGGGACGAAAGGCCUUCGUGCGAAGAGUGAGAAGGAUUGACGGUACCUGAAUAGAAAGCCACGGCUAACUACGUG